This 394-nucleotide ribosomal RNA is filed under the name uncultured bacterium. RNAcentral describes it as "partial 16S ribosomal RNA". It matches the Rfam family "Bacterial small subunit ribosomal RNA", at positions 523 to 918 of the family's 1533-position model. The record is from RNAcentral.
AUACGGAGGACGCGAGCGUUAUCCGGAUUCAUUGGGUUUAAAGGGUGCGCAGGCGGCCGUGCAAGUCAGCGGUGAAAGCCCGGGGCUCAACCCCGGAAGUGCCGUUGAUACUGCAUGGCUGGAAUGCGGUCGAGGCGGGCGGAACGUGGCGGGGAGGGGUGAAAUGCAUAGAUAUCACGAAGAACUCCGAUCGCGAAGGCAGCCUUCCGGCCCGUCAACGACGCUCAUGCUCGAAGGUGCGGGUAUCAAACAGGAUUAGAUACCCUGGUAGUCCGCACAGUAAACGAUGGACACCCGCGGUUUGGCCUAUAUGGCUGAGCCGCCAAGCGAAAGCGUUAAGUGUCCCACCUGGGGAGUACGCCGGCAACGGUGAAACUCAAAUGAAUUGACGGGG